RNAcentral lists this ribosomal RNA (119 nucleotides) under Pteropus alecto (black flying fox). The record is from RNAcentral. Lineage: Eukaryota; Metazoa; Chordata; Mammalia; Chiroptera; Pteropodidae.
GUCUACAGCCAUGUCACCCUGAACAAGCCCGAUCCUUUCUGAUCUUGGACCCUCAGUAGGCUUGGGCCUGGUUAGUACUCAGAUGGGAGACCACCUAGGAAGACCAGGUACUGUAGGCA